Molecule: long non-coding RNA, 518 nt
Organism: Lemur catta (Ring-tailed lemur)
Lineage: Eukaryota; Metazoa; Chordata; Mammalia; Primates; Lemuridae
Exons: 4
Source: RefSeq, a predicted model, not a curated record
CGCGGAGCCGGCUGCCCCUCGGCGCGCGUGCGGACGGAGGGCGCCUGCGGCUGCGCGGGAACGCGCUGAAGCGCUGCGGGCAGCGCGCGGGAGCCGGGACGGAGCGGAGCUAAAGAAGUAAACAGCUCAUGGCACGUUUAACAAAAAGAUGACAGGCGGAUACAAAAGCUAUCCAGCAUCUUUGGGCAGCCAUUGAGAUUAUACAGAACCAGAAGCAAAUUGCCAACAUUGACCGUAUUACCAAGACUGUCGUGCUCCAGCUCCUGAGGACUUUACAAUGGAUCCGUGCGUUACUGUGAAUCGUCUCACGUGAGGAUGUCUCACCCUGUCCAUUGCAGCUGCAAGAUUUCCAAUCAAGAUGUAAAGGGUGAAGAAUCAAAGAACAAAGAAUCAGUAACAAGUGAAAUUUAAGCCUUCAGUCAUGCAGAUUCCUAAUAUGAUUCAUAACUCAUUGUCAUGUUAUUUCUCUAAAUGCCAUGUAUAGUUUAAUGUCCAAUAAAAUCAAGUUACAUAUAUCA